UACGUAGGGUGCGAGCGUUAAUCGGAAUUACUGGGCGUAAAGCGUGCGCAGGCGGUUUUGUAAGCCAGAUGUGAAAUCCCCGGGCUUAACCUGGGAAUGGCAUUUGGGACUGCAAGGCUAGAGUGUGGCAGAGGAGACUGGAAUUCCUGGUGUAGCAGUGAAAUGCGUAGAGAUGUGGAGGAAUACCGAUGGCGAAGGCAGCCCCCUGGGCCAAUACUGACGCUCAUGCACGAAAGCGUGGGGAGCAAACAGG
This 253-nucleotide ribosomal RNA is filed under the name uncultured bacterium. Its description in RNAcentral is "partial 16S ribosomal RNA". It matches the Rfam family "Bacterial small subunit ribosomal RNA", at positions 524 to 776 of the family's 1533-position model. The record is from RNAcentral.